RNAcentral lists this unclassified non-coding RNA (356 nucleotides) under Hevea brasiliensis (rubber tree). The record is from RNAcentral. Lineage: Eukaryota; Viridiplantae; Streptophyta; Magnoliopsida; Malpighiales; Euphorbiaceae.
GGCCACUAGAUCCAUCUUUUUUGUCUCCAUCAAUUGUUACACGACGUUGAGGGAAUAACUUGCAAAUCUGCUUUACAACCACAGACUGUUUAUGAAGAAGCUCAGAGGUAAUUGCCAUAUGUCCAAGAUUCUGAGUGCAGAUAAGAUUAGGAUAAAACUUCUCAAGUUGCUCCGCACGAUUUUUUUCCAGCAUCCUUGUUGCUGAUCCUAGCAACUCGUACUGCACUUUCAGGUCAUGAGACAUCUUCUCAAUUUUCGCCUUCCCUUGUGAAACUUGCUCCUUUUGCUGUCGGAGUUUUUCCCUUAAUCUUGCCAAUUUUUCAUUCCGAGGCACCCUCCAACUAAGUUGAUCGUCG